CAUCCUGGGGGGAGAAGAAGAAGCAAUAAUGCUCAUCAGCAGGAUUCAAGAUCAAGAAUAUUUGCAGCUGCUUUCGGAUUUAACAGAUGGAAAUGGAAUCUGAAGGGAGCAGGGGCAUCAGUCGGGGGGCUGGAGAAGGCAGGGGAGGCCAGAUCUCCUCUCAGCUGCAAACGUCUGGAUCCAGAAGAACAACAAACAAAGCUUCCAAUCACAUCCCUCAGGUACAAUGGAGGGGAGAACUCACUGUCCAAUUAGAAGCUUCAGCCAGUUUCCAGCCCUGCAUUUGUUGCUACACAUGAUUGUGGGAGCUGCAGUUCAGCACCAGGUGGUUGGCAGAUACAUACUGUGAGUGUAUAGACCCUGCACAGGACACAUAAAGGAAUAGCACUUACCUCUUAUUGGCCGCCGGGGUGCUGAAGAUUGGAAAGGCAGUUGAACCUAAAAGACAAAAGGGAAGAAAAGAAUUACAGCAAUUCUUUGCCGAUAUCUGAUAGGCCGAUAGUCAAAUGGGAAGUGAAUAAAGCACCCCUGAUAUCUAUGGAUGAAUAGAUCAGCUGAACUACAAAUAACUGCAGCAUGUGCGCAGGAACCCAGAUGCCUCACAUUACCUUUAUUAUCACACGGUUUUUGUACAACUCUGUCCUGAUGCUCCGAGUCCAUCACAGAAGACUCCGGCUCCGCUUGCUGCCCACAGAAAGGAUCAGUUAUUAACAGCUAUAGGUAACCCCCCAGAGUUUAUUUAUAAUAAAAGCCUGACACCAA
Molecule: long non-coding RNA, 762 nt
Organism: Xenopus laevis (African clawed frog)
Lineage: Eukaryota; Metazoa; Chordata; Amphibia; Anura; Pipidae
Exons: 3
Source: RefSeq, a predicted model, not a curated record